UGCCGGACCUGACUGCUAUCGGAUUGAUACUAAGUCAUGCGAGUCAUUGUAGCAAUACAAGGCAUUCGGCUCAGUAACGCGUAGUCAACCUAAGCUAUGGACGGGAAUAACCUCGGGAAACUGAGAAUAAUGCCCGAAAAAACAUUAUGCCUGGAAUGGUUUAUGUUCCAAAUGAUUUAUCGCCGUAGGAUGGGACUGCGGCCUAUCAGUUUGUUGGUGAGGUAAUGGCCCACCAAGACUAUUACAGGUACGGGCUCUGAGAGGAGUAGCCCGGAGAUGGGUACUGAGACACGGACCCAGGCCCUAUGGGGCGCAGCAGGCGAGAAAACUUUGCAAUGUGCGAAAGCACGACAAGGUUAAUCCGAGUGGUUUCUGCUAGAGAAACCUUUUGUCAGUCCUAGAAACACUGAUGAAUAAGGGGUGGGCAAGUUCUGGUGUCAGCA
Molecule: ribosomal RNA, 443 nt
Filed under: uncultured archaeon
Lineage: Archaea
Description: bacterial SSU rRNA
Rfam family: Archaeal small subunit ribosomal RNA
Source: RNAcentral